RNAcentral lists this ribosomal RNA (372 nucleotides) under uncultured organism. RNAcentral describes it as "partial 16S ribosomal RNA". It matches the Rfam family "Bacterial small subunit ribosomal RNA", at positions 527 to 897 of the family's 1533-position model. The record is from RNAcentral.
GUAGGUGGCAAGCGUUGUCCGGAAUUAUUGGGCGUAAAGCGCGCGCAGGCGGUCCUUUAAGUCUGAUGUGAAAGCCCACGGCUCAACCGUGGAGGGUCAUUGGAAACUGGGGGACUUGAGUACAGAAGAGGAAAGCGGAAUUCCAAGUGUAGCGGUGAAAUGCGUAGAGAUUUGGAGGAACACCAGUGGCGAAGGCGGCUUUCUGGUCUGUAACUGACGCUGAGGCGCGAAAGCGUGGGGAGCAAACAGGAUUAGAUACCCUGGUAGUCCACGCCGUAAACGAUGAGUGCUAAGUGUUAGGGGGUUUCCGCCCCCUUAGUGCUGCAGCUAACGCAUUAAGCACUCCGCCUGGGGAUACGGCCGCAAGGCUGA